GCACUCUUGUUUCUCUUCAGAUCGUAUAAAUCUUUCGCCUUUUACUAAAGAUUUCCGUGGGGAGGAACAACAAGAGUUUGAUUCAAUAUUUUGAUGCCCUGCAGUAGUAGGGCC
RNAcentral lists this small nuclear RNA (114 nucleotides) under Oryzias latipes (Japanese medaka). Its description in RNAcentral is "U5 spliceosomal RNA (ENSORLG00000026382.1)". It matches the Rfam family "U5 spliceosomal RNA". From Rfam's summary of the family: U5 RNA is a component of both types of known spliceosome. The record is from Rfam by way of RNAcentral. Lineage: Eukaryota; Metazoa; Chordata; Actinopteri; Beloniformes; Adrianichthyidae.